Molecule: ribosomal RNA, 402 nt
Filed under: bacterium
Lineage: Bacteria
Description: partial 16S ribosomal RNA
Rfam family: Bacterial small subunit ribosomal RNA
Source: RNAcentral
UGGGGAAUUUUGCACAAUGGGGGAAACCCUGAUGCAGCGACGCCGCGUGAUUUAGAAGGCCUUCGGGUUGUAAAAAUCUUUUCUAUGGGAAGAAAAUGACAGUACCAUAGGAAUAAGGACCGGCUAAUUACGUGCCAGCAGCCGCGGUAAUACGUAAGGUCCGAGCGUUGUCCGGAAUCAUUGGGCGUAAAGGGUACGUAGGCGGGUAAGCAAGUUAGAAGUGAAAUCCUAUAGCUCAACUAUAGUAAGCUUUUAAUUCUGCUCAGCUUGAGUUAUUGAAGUGAAAGUGGAAUUCCUAGUGUAGCGGUGAAAUGCGCAGAUAUUAGGAGGAAUACCGGUGGCGAAGGCGAGUUGCUGGCCAUAACCUGACGCUGAGGUACGAAGGCGUGGGUAGCAAACAGG